CCCUUUUGGUCAUAUCCUAGAAAUAAUGGACCAACCCCUAAGAUGUAUUUUGGAACCAAAUAUAUGUCCUUUAAAAGAGGAAAUCCAAACCAGUUGUUUUCUUAUCCAAAAUUAUGAAGGAAAGAACAUUAUGAGAUUCUAACUUAUUUUACAGACUUACACUAUUCAAACAAAACUGUAUUUUAAAAUUUUUCAUUGAUGGUUUUAGUAACCGCAAGCCAGAAUCAGAAAUCAGGUACAAUUCAGAUGAAUAAAGACUUACAAAUCAUUCCUCUACCGCCAAUGCG
RNAcentral lists this long non-coding RNA (287 nucleotides) under Bos taurus (domestic cattle). RNAcentral describes it as "long non-coding RNA NONBTAT010784". Lineage: Eukaryota; Metazoa; Chordata; Mammalia; Artiodactyla; Bovidae. The record is from RNAcentral.